UUUUUUUUUUUUUUUUUAAUGUUGCAGGGUCUUGCUCUAUCGCCCAGGCUGGAGUGCAGUGGCACAAUCUUGGCUCACUGCAACCUCCACCUCCUGGUCUCAAGUGAUUCUUGUGCCUCAGUCUCCUGAGCAGCUGAGAUUACAGGCGCGCACCACCGCGCCCAGAUAAUUUUUGUAUUUUCAGUAGAGACAAAAUGUUGUCCAGGCUGGUCUCAAACUCCUGACCAAGUAAUCUACCGCCUCGGCUUCCCAAAAUGCUGGAAUUACAGGUGUGAGCCACUGUGCCCAGCCUGAAGAGUGACAUUUUUUAAUCUCUUGUUUUGUGCAUUAUAGUUCAGGUGAUUCUCACAUUACUAUUGUGCCCAUUACACAGCUGAAAAAACUGAGGCCUGGAGAUAUCCUGGAAGGAAGAAAUGGCAAAGGUAGCAAGGAACUCUGUGUCUCCUGGCUGAAAGGCCUAAGCAUUUUUUCUGACAGCCAGCUCAAGCCUCUAAGAAAGAUUCUGCUCCCCAGAUGUGAGCCCCUCCCCCAGCUGGAGACCCUCAUCACCAUUCCCUGGGGAUAGAGGCAUCCUUGGCUUUAUCUUUUCGUCUGUACUUUAAAUUAUUUCUAAUUUUAAUCUAAACUGUGCCAGCUAAAUGGUGUCAGCGCCCUGCAGUCACAGCUCUGAAUCACUCCCCACCCCUCUCUCCCCCAUUGCUGCUACUGACACUAACGGCUGGUGAGGGAGGGGCUGUCAUGCAGGCUGAACAGGGCUGGGUACUAGGGGCUUUGUCUGGGCAUCCUCCCUCCCUCAAGCUGCUUGGUCAAGGAGAUGGGAAGGGGCAACAGACAGGCAGGAAAUUGGGUUGGAUACUGUCUGGGCUUUCUUUAACCCCAGCUCCCAGGAGAAUGGGAACCAUAUAGCCGGGGGUGGUGACAACAUAAGACUUCAGGACCUUUUGUCCACACAACUUUCUCCAUUCUGCAGAUAAAGACACUCAGCCUUGAGAGGCCUAGCUUGGGUCUCUUGCUCUUAACAGGCACAAGCAAGUAUUGGAGCCCAAAUCAUUCUUGGAUCCAGAGCCCGAGGUCUUGGUCACAACACUGCUAACCCCAAGACUUGCCCUCUAGCCCUCUCCAUGUGCACACCCACAUCCUCAUGGUCUCCCACACACUCACACACCCAUACUGGGCUCUCACCUUCCCUCCCAGCACUGUCACCACACACCUUGUCACACCCCCUCCUGCCGCUAACACCCACGCCCAGGCACUCUCCGUUCCCCACAAUCACAGUCACUCCCCAAGCAUAGACUGUGUCCCACCAGUCACACACUCCUACCAUGACCACACACUGCCAGGCUUACCCCAGUACUGUCCCAUCCCAUAGUCCUCACACCACCCCUCAGCCAGGUACAGCUGCCCAGACACCUCCACACCUCUCUGUCUCACACACACACACAACUGCACACAUCACACAUGCGCCAUACAGCCUCCCUCUGUUGGCCUGCCCACCGCGCCCCAGCUCACUCCACAGUAGGAACGAGGAAACCCCAGGGAUCAGUCCCCUCCCUUAGUGACCAGGUGAGCCUGGUCACAGAAGCUCAGUGGCAGAGGGAGAGCCACACAUGAGUACACGCACAUACAC
This is a long non-coding RNA of Macaca fascicularis (crab-eating macaque), 1627 nucleotides long. Lineage: Eukaryota; Metazoa; Chordata; Mammalia; Primates; Cercopithecidae. The record is from Ensembl.